UAUAAAUCCUAAUAGAAACUAUCUAAGCGCUUCAUAAUUCUAAGACAUGUUGCGAAAAUUACUUCUAUCGGUUCUGUUUAUGGCUGCUGUAAUGUCUGUGGUACCUGCUUUUGAAGGUGUAAUCUUCUUACACGAAUAUUGCAACCACGACAGUGACUGUAAAUCGGGAGAGUUAUGCGGCAUUAGUUGCGUCAAUGGCUGUAAAAUUGAUUGUGUAGAUGCUGAUGACUACUUCAAUGGCGAAGCGGUGAAAUAAGAAAACUUUUCAGAAACAUCACAAUGGGCGGCAGCGAUCAAUCAGCGUCAAACAUCGUGAAAGAAUCAAUAUAGAGAUAAAGAACUUUAUUUUCGAUUUGUU
Styela clava is the source of this 358-nucleotide non-coding RNA. NCBI's taxonomy places the organism in Eukaryota, Metazoa, Chordata, Ascidiacea, Stolidobranchia, Styelidae. The record is from RefSeq and is a predicted model, not a curated record.